Molecule: ribosomal RNA, 492 nt
Filed under: uncultured bacterium
Lineage: Bacteria
Description: partial 16S ribosomal RNA
Rfam family: Bacterial small subunit ribosomal RNA
Source: RNAcentral
AGUGAACGCUGGCGGUAGGCCUAACACAUGCAAGUCGAACGGCAGCACAGUAAGAGCUUGCUCUUACGGGUGGCGAGUGGCGGACGGGUGAGGAAUACAUCGGAAUCUACUUUUUCGUGGGGGGUAACGUAGGGAAACUUACGCUAAUACCGCAUACGACCUACGGGUGAAAGCAGGGGAUCUUCGGACCUUGCGCGAUUGAAUGAGCCGAUGUCGGAUUAGCUAGUUGGCGGGGUAAAGGCCCACCGAGGCGACGAUCCGUAGCUGGUCUGAGAGGAUGAUCAGCCACACUGGAACUGAGACACGGUCCAGACUCCUACGGGAGGCAGCAGUGGGGAAUAUUGGACAAUGGGCGCAAGCCUGAUCCAGCCAUACCGCGUGGGUGAAGAAGGCCUUCGGGUUGUAAAGCCCUUUUGUUGGGAAAGAAAAGCAGCAGGUUAAUACCCCGCUGUUCUGACGGUACCCAAAGAAUAAGCACCGGCUAACUUCGUG